Molecule: non-coding RNA, 879 nt
Organism: Benincasa hispida (wax gourd)
Lineage: Eukaryota; Viridiplantae; Streptophyta; Magnoliopsida; Cucurbitales; Cucurbitaceae
Source: RefSeq, a predicted model, not a curated record
UUCCUUUCUCCCUCACGUGCGUGACCAAACCCUUCCCCCUCCAAAUUCCUUUCUCCCUCACGUGCGUGACCAAACCCUUCCCCCUCCAUUUUUUUUUCUUUCGCCUGCCGCCGUCCUUCUCACCGCCGACCAUGACCAGUAGUUUCGAUCUCACCGCCGCUCGGUGCUGACCUUGACCGCCAGCCCAGAUCCUAGCCGCGAAUAGCCCAGAUUCGACUUCGGCCUCUUCGCGCCUCAACCGUUCGCGCCGCCCAGAUCCGACUUCGGUCUCCCACGCCGAAGUUGCCCGACUUCGGUCUCCCACAGUGUUCGAGCCGCUUCGUCCGAGACCGCUCCAUAACUGCUCUAGACCACGAACCGACCAGUGCCACUCUAGAUGCAUCUGCGCCAGAGCCGCCGCCGCUAGCGCCACUCUUAUCUUUCAAUCAAUUGGAUCUGCGUCGGAUUCCUCCUGUCGCCACCGUCGUUGCUUGUGUCGUCAUUAGAUUUAUCAACUUGGGUAAGAUUUCUACUGUUUGGGGUUGUUUUCAAUUGAUUAUUGACUGCCCAUUUACUUUUGGCACCAAUCGAUUGAGGCCUUUAUAUGUCAACUUUGGAUUCAUGUUCUUGAAAAUAUUAAGAUGUCAUUUGGUGAAGUUGGAAUUGUUUUAGCAGAUUUGGUGCGCCUCAUAUCACACCUUAGGGUCUUACUUGGAGUUACUGGUUUUGUUGGCUGUCUGGGAUUGUCUGCAGAUUUUCGAUUUAGGUUGGAUUCAAAGCCUUCCAAGAGUUGUAAGAGGGUUAAUUACUUGGAUUAAAUUGUGACCAAAUUUAAGGUAAGGGUAGAUAUGCACCGGCGAUGGACAAGCGAAAUUCGUGAUCGAGCUACUGGGACUAGUU